This 418-nucleotide ribosomal RNA is filed under the name uncultured bacterium. RNAcentral describes it as "bacterial SSU rRNA". It matches the Rfam family "Bacterial small subunit ribosomal RNA", at positions 355 to 786 of the family's 1533-position model. The record is from RNAcentral.
UGGGGAAUAUUGGGCAAUGGGCGAAAGCCUGACCCAGCAACGCCGCGUGAGGGAAGAAGGGUUUCGGCUCGUAAACCCUCUGUCCUAUGGGACGAAGGAAGUGACGGUACCAUAGGAGGAAGCCCCGGCUAACUACGUGCCAGCAGCCGCGGUAAUACGUAGGGGGCGAGCGUUGUCCGGAAUGAUUGGGCGUAAAGGGCGCGUAGGCGGCCUGUUAAGUCUGGAGUGAAAGUCCUGCUUUCAAGGUGGGAAUUGCUUUGGAUACUGAUGGGCUGGAGUGCAGGAGAGGAAAGCGGAAUUACCGGUGUAGCGGUGAAAUGCGUAGAGAUCGGUAGGAACACCAGUGGCGAAGGCGGCUUUCUGGACUGAAACUGACGCUGAGGCGCGAAAGCGUGGGGAGCAAACAGGAUUAGAUACC